Molecule: small nucleolar RNA, 92 nt
Filed under: Meriones unguiculatus (Mongolian gerbil)
Lineage: Eukaryota; Metazoa; Chordata; Mammalia; Rodentia; Muridae
Description: Small nucleolar RNA SNORA17 (ENSMUGG00000025786.1)
Rfam family: Small nucleolar RNA SNORA17
About the family: snoRNA ACA 17 belongs to the H/ACA family of snoRNAs and is predicted to guide pseudouridylation of the 28S rRNA at positions U4659 and U4598. It shares the same host gene together with ACA43.
Source: RNAcentral
GCUUUCAGUAAUGGUGGAGAGAAAAAUAGCUUUGUCUAUGUUCAGUGUUCUGACCUGUGAACAUCUGUCUGAAUGAUUAGUAGCUUAACGCU